RNAcentral lists this ribosomal RNA (466 nucleotides) under uncultured bacterium. RNAcentral's name for it is "partial 16S ribosomal RNA". It matches the Rfam family "Bacterial small subunit ribosomal RNA", at positions 28 to 505 of the family's 1533-position model. The record is from RNAcentral.
GACGAACGCUGGCGGCGUGCUUAACACAUGCAAGUCGAACGGAAAGGCCCUGCUUUUGUGGGGUGCUCGAGUGGCGAACGGGUGAGUAACACGUGAGUAACCUGCCCUUGACUUUGGGAUAACUUCAGGAAACUGGGGCUAAUACCGGAUAGGAGCUCCUGCUGCAUGGUGGGGGUUGGAAAGUUUCGGCGGUUGGGGAUGGACUCGCGGCUUAUCAGCUUGUUGGUGGGGUAGUGGCUUACCAAGGCUUUGACGGGUAGCCGGCCUGAGAGGGUGACCGGCCACAUUGGGACUGAGAUCCGGCCCAGACUCCUACGGGAGGCAGCAGUGGGGAAUAUUGCACAAUGGGCGGAAGCCUGAUGCAGCAACGCCGCGUGCGGGAUGACGGCCUUCGGGUUGUAAACCGCUUUCGCCUGUGACGAAGCGUGAGUGACGGUAAGGGGUAAAGAAGCACCGGCUAACUCCG